UAGAGUUUGAUCAUGGCUCAGGACGAACGCUAGCGGGGGGCUUAACACAUGCAAGUCGAACGCGAAAGUAGUUCUUCGGAACUGCGAGUAGAGUGGCGAACGGGUGAGUAACACGUAGGCAACCUGCCCUUUGGUGGGGGAUAACAUUCCGAAAGGAGUGCUAAUACCGCAUCAUCUGUCCGGAUCGCAUGGUCCGGUCGGCAAAGGCUUCGGCCGCCGAAGGAUGGGCCUGCGCCCUGUUAGCUUGUUGGUGAGGUAACGGCUCACCAAGGCGACGAUGGGUAGCCGGUCUGAGAGGAUGAUCGGCCACACUGGGACUGAGAUACGGCCCAGACUCCUACGGGAGGCAGCAGUGAGGAAUAUUGCACAAUGGGCGAAAGCCUGAUGCAGCCACCCCGCGUGUGGGAUGAAGCUCUUGCGAGCGUAAACCACCGUUAGGAGAGGCGAAUAAGCGGUUUUGCCGCGAAUGACGGUAUCUCCAGCGAAAGCACCGGCUAACUCCGUGCCAGCAGCCGCGGUAAUACGGGGGGUGCAAGCGUUGUCCGGAAUCACUGGGCGUAAAGGGCGCGCAGGCGGAAUCGUCAGUCUGAGGUGAAAUGUCGGGGCUUAACCUCGAAUCUGCCUUGGAUACUGCGAUUCUUGAGUUCGGUAGAGGGAAGUGGAAUUCCAGGUGUAGCGGUGGAAUGCGUAGAUAUCUGGAAGAACACCGGUGGCGAAGGCGGCUUCCUGGCCCGAAACUGACGCUGAGGCGCGAAAGCGUGGGUAGCAAACAGGAUUAGAUACCCUGGUAGUCCACGCCCUAAACGAUGAUCACUAGAUGCUGGGAGAUUCGACCCUCUCAGCGUCGUAGCUAACGCGUUAAGUGAUCCGCCUGGGGAGUACGGCCGCAAGGUUGAAACUCAAAGGAGUUGACGGGGGGCCCGCACAAG
RNAcentral lists this ribosomal RNA (929 nucleotides) under uncultured Deferribacteres bacterium. RNAcentral describes it as "bacterial SSU rRNA". It matches the Rfam family "Bacterial small subunit ribosomal RNA", at positions 1 to 929 of the family's 1533-position model. The record is from RNAcentral. Lineage: Bacteria; Pseudomonadati; Deferribacterota; Deferribacteres.